GGGCUAUGGAAGGUGGCGAUGCCCCUUAAAAUUAAGGUGUUCCUUUGGCAAAUGUUUCGGGAUAGGCUCCCUUCGUCCAACAAUGUGGCUAAACGAAACGGAACGUCAGACGGCUCGUGUGCGAUAUGUGGUGCGCACGAAGACGCGAACCACAUCUUUUUUAACUGCCACCUCGCCCGGUUUGCUUGGAGCGCCGUUAUGGAAGCUCUCGGCCAAAACCGGAACCCUCGCUCUAGUGGGGAGCUGCGGGCCAUCUUUCGUUCUCAUAGGGGCGACUAUGCUAGAGUUCUUUGGUGUUGCGUUGGGCGCUGUUGUGGUCGCUUUGGACUACCCGUAAUAAGAUUACUAUUGAACACAAGUUCCCAUCUCACCCCGCUGACAUUAUUUUCCAAUACCACUUGUUCCUCCAGACCUGGAUGUUGUUGGGGAAACGGUGGGACACUAAGAGGAUGGAGGAAGCCAUGGAGAGGAUCCGCGCCAUCCAGACUACUACACGUCAAUGAUCCCCAUGAUGUUUUUGCGGGAGGUUGCCUCCUUCGUUUGGCCGUUGUCGGACUUUUAAAUUUAUCUCAAGCCUCGGCCGGUUGCAUGUUGUAA
RNAcentral lists this ribosomal RNA (597 nucleotides) under Triticum aestivum (bread wheat). RNAcentral's name for it is "partial small subunit ribosomal RNA". Lineage: Eukaryota; Viridiplantae; Streptophyta; Magnoliopsida; Poales; Poaceae. The record is from RNAcentral.